This 450-nucleotide ribosomal RNA is filed under the name uncultured bacterium. RNAcentral's name for it is "bacterial SSU rRNA". It matches the Rfam family "Bacterial small subunit ribosomal RNA", at positions 354 to 796 of the family's 1533-position model. The record is from RNAcentral.
GUGGGGAAUAUUGGACAAUGGGCGCAAGCCUGAUCCAGCCAUGCCGCGUGAGUGAAGAAGGCCUUCGGGUUGUAAAGCUCUUUUGUCCGGAAAGAAAAGCCUUCGGUUAAUACCCGGGGGUGAUGACGGUACCGGAAGAAUAAGCACCGGCUAACUUCGUGCCAGCAGCCGCGGUAAUACGAAGGGUGCAAGCGUUACUCGGAAUUACUGGGCGUAAAGCGUGCGUAGGUGGUUCGUUAAGUCUGAUGUGAAAGCCCUGGGCUCAACCUGGGAAUGGCAUUGGAAACUGGCGACCUAGAGUGCGGUAGAGGGUAGUGGAAUUCCCGGUGUAGCAGUGAAAUGCGUAGAGAUCGGGAGGAACAUCCGUGGCGAAGGCGACUACCUGGACCAGCACUGACACUGAGGCACGAAAGCGUGGGGAGCAAACAGGAUUAGAAACCCCAGUAGUCC